GUGGGGAAUAUUGGACAAUGGGCGAAAGCCUGAUCCAGCCAUGCCGCGUGUGUGAAGAAGGUCUUCGGAUUGUAAAGCACUUUAAGUUGGGAGGAAGGGCAGUAAGUUAAUACCUUGCUGUUUUGACGUUACCGACAGAAUAAGCACCGGCUAACUUCGUGCCAGCAGCCGCGGUAAUACGAAGGGUGCAAGCGUUAAUCGGAAUUACUGGGCGUAAAGCGCGCGUAGGUGGUUUUGUAAGUUGGAGGUGAAAUCCCCGGGCUCAACCUGGGAACUGCCUCCAAAACUGCAUGACUAGAGUACGGUAGAGGGUAGUGGAAUUUCCUGUGUAGCGGUGAAAUGCGUAGAUAUAGGAAGGAACACCAGUCGCGAAGGCGACUACCUGGACUGAUACUGACACUGAGGUGCGAAAGCGUGGGGAGCAAACAGGAUUAGAUACCCCGGUAGUCC
RNAcentral lists this ribosomal RNA (450 nucleotides) under uncultured bacterium. RNAcentral's name for it is "partial 16S ribosomal RNA". It matches the Rfam family "Bacterial small subunit ribosomal RNA", at positions 354 to 796 of the family's 1533-position model. The record is from RNAcentral.